This 797-nucleotide ribosomal RNA is filed under the name uncultured Glomus. RNAcentral describes it as "SSU rRNA". It matches the Rfam family "Eukaryotic small subunit ribosomal RNA", at positions 314 to 1114 of the family's 1831-position model. Lineage: Eukaryota; Fungi; Glomeromycota; Glomeromycetes; Glomerales; Glomeraceae. The record is from RNAcentral.
AUCAACUUUCGAUGGUAGGAUAGAGGCCUACCAUGGUGGUAACGGGUAACGGGGUGUUAGGGCACGACACCGGAGAGGGAGCCUGAGAAACGGCUACCACAUCCAAGGAUGGCAGCAGGCGCGCAAAUUACCCAAUCCCGACACGGGGAGGUAGUGACAAUAAAUAACAAUACGGGGUUCUUUCGGAUUUCGUAAUUGGAAUGAGUACAAUUUAAAUCUCUUAACGAGGAACAAUUGGAGGGCAAGUCUGGUGCCAGCAGCCGCGGUAAUUCCAGCUCCAAUAGCGUAUAUUAAAGUUGCUGCAGUUAAAAAGCUCGUAGUUGAAUUUCGGGACUAAUAUGUCGGUCGUGCCUCGGUACGUACUGGCUUAUUGGUUUCUCCUUUCUGAAGAACUAUGAUGUCAUUUAUUUGGUGUCGUGGGGAAUCAGGACUGUUACUUUGAAAAAAUUAGAGUGUUUAAAGCAGGCUCACGCUUGAAUACAUUAGCAUGGAAUAAUGAAAUAGGACGUUUGAUUCUAUUUUGUUGGUUUCUAGGAUCGACGUAAUGAUUAAUAGGGAUAGUUGGGGGCAUUAGUAUUCAAUUGUCAGAGGUGAAAUUCUUGGAUUUAUUGAAGACUAACUACUGCGAAAGCAUUUGCCAAGGAUGUUUUCAUUAAUCAAGAACGAAAGUUAGGGGAUCGAAGACGAUCAGAUACCGUCGUAGUCUUAACCAUAAACUAUGCCGACUAGGGAUCGGAUGAUGUUAAUUUUUUAAUGACUCAUUCGGCGCCUUACGGGAAACCAAAGUGUUUGGGUUC